GACGAACGCUGGCGGCGUGCCUAAUACAUGCAAGUAGAACGCUGAAGGAGGAGCUUGCUUCUCUGGAUGAGUUGCGAACGGGUGAGUAACGCGUAGGUAACCUGCCUGGUAGCGGGGGAUAACUAUUGGAAACGAUAGCUAAUACCGCAUAAUAGCAGUUGUUGCAUGAUAACUGUUUGAAAGUUGCAAUUGCACCACUACCAGAUGGACCUGCAUUGUAUUAGCUAGUUGGUGGGGUAACGGCUCACCAAGGCGACGAUACAUAGCCGACCUGAGAGGGUGAUCGGCCACACUGGGACUGAGACACGGCCCAGACUCCUACGGGAGGCAGCAGUAGGGAAUCUUAGGCAAUGGACGGAAGUCUGACCGAGCAACGCCGCGUGAGUGAAGAAGGGUUUCGGAUCGUAAAGCUCUGUUGUAAGAGAAGAACGAGUGUGAGAGUGGAAAGUUCACACUGUGACGGUAUCUUACCAGAAAGGGACGGCUAACUACGUG
RNAcentral lists this ribosomal RNA (495 nucleotides) under uncultured bacterium. RNAcentral describes it as "partial 16S ribosomal RNA". It matches the Rfam family "Bacterial small subunit ribosomal RNA", at positions 28 to 507 of the family's 1533-position model. The record is from RNAcentral.